RNAcentral lists this long non-coding RNA (10893 nucleotides) under Nicotiana benthamiana. RNAcentral describes it as "long non-coding RNA (NBEN_LNC015252)". The record is from RNAcentral. Lineage: Eukaryota; Viridiplantae; Streptophyta; Magnoliopsida; Solanales; Solanaceae.
CUCUGCCUAUAAAGAUAACACAAAAAGGCUGGAAAAGAGGGCAGCCGCGCAGAGAACCAAAUACCCGCCCCAUUGUUCUCCACCAUCUUUAGCAUCUUCAAAACUUGAACACCAAAAACAACACACACCCAUAUAAACGCACACACAACUAAACCAACCAGAAAAUCUGGGCAUGAAAAUUGAUUGAAGAAAAGUUGGUUUAGGUUCUAAUUCCAGUUGCUGAUUGUUAGAUUUUUGUUGCUGCUAUGAUUGGUUGAGACGCGGCUGAGUCGAAGCUGUUUUGUUUCCAGUUCGAGUUCCAUCUAGAGGUCAUCGGAUUGAGUGCUUUUAUUUUCCAUGUAAGAAAAUUGUUAUGGGAGAUCUGAAAGUCUGUUCGAGUCAAGGAUGUUGUUUGAGUUGCUGGACCGCUAGUUCUGUUUCUUCACUGAAAUUCCACAUUGGAAAUUCUUGAUUAUUGUGAAAGGAAAAUUUUCUCAUUAAGGUAUGUUUUUCUUGAUUUUCAUUCUAUUCUCAUCUCGUCACAGUAGCUUGAAGAGUGUUUGGCAUAACUUGUGAUUUUCUUUAUUUUAUUUUUAACUAGCAUAUCUUAACUUUCGUUAGGUACCUUUAAUUAGUUUAUCUAUUUUGUGAUGUAUAUGACCUUUGUUCUUGGAUGAAUGUAUUAUAAUGGUUCGAUAAAUUAACUUAGCAAGUUAGUGGUUAGUGCUAGAAUAUUUAAUAAGCUAAUGGAAUUUAUUUGUUAAAUAAUAAGGAUACUUCCAUACUUCCAUCAUUCACAUUGGGGAGUUAGGGAAGAAAGGUAGCUAAUGUUAUGAGUAUACACUGACUUGGAUGCAUGUUUUUUUUUUUGCAAUUCACUAUGCAGGCGCCUAGGGUUAGAUUUCAUUAAUAAUUGAAAAGAAAAUUAUAACAAUUAGGAGAAGUAAAAUAAGGGAUAGCAACGAUGUUGUUACCCAUAUAACACAACCGGCGUAACCGUACCUUACUAAUCCUAUUGAGGCAAAUAAAAAGCCUCACCUACUAGCAAGCAUGUAAAAAGAAAGAACUAGCAAGAACUAAGAACAGUAUGAUCAUCAUAGAGUUUAUAACGUACUCUGUAAUGAUAUUACAUAUUAUAAGACUAAUGUGAUGGUAAAAUAAGAGGAUGAAAAAACUACGUUGAUGCUCUCUUUUCUCUAAAUUUGUGAAUACUUCCAUUUGUAGAUUGUUGUCUUUGCCCACAGAUUUAAAAGUCUUCAAAAUUCAUGUUUUUUCUUUAAGCGAUUGGAAUUUGUAGAUAUUGUUUGAGUGACCUGUUUUUGUUUUGCAUUUCUCAUUGGGGGCCUCCUUAUGUUUGCGUCUUCAAUCACCAUGGUGUCCCAACUUCUAUCACUUGCAGGAGACUUCUUACUUCUUUCACUAUGCAUUAGUGACAAAUUACCUUUUCUUGAAGCGUCUAAAUCCCUUGCACGAGACUUGUUACUUCUUUCACUAUGCAUUGGUGACAAAUCACCUUUUCUUGAAGCCUCUGCCUGACAUUGCUUUAAUAUAUCAUCUUCCUCCCCUUCUUUAUAUAUAUGUCUACCUGUAAAUAUUGAAUUUGGCAUCUCUUGAAAAUCGCUUUAUGUUAUCAAUGAUUUUUCAGCUUGUACCUUACCUAUAACUGCCUUGUUUUGUCAUUGUUUUGCGAUUUGUUCCUGCUCAUGUUCCCACAACCUGUACUGGAAUUAUCAUGAUUUAAAGCGUUUAGUGGAUCUGUACUUUGCAUCGCAUCCAAGAGUUGUCUUUCUUCUAAAGAGAUUACUGGAGCAGUUGUUACGAUGUAGUGCUGCCCCGCCUGUGAACAUGCUACUGUGUUGCAAUCAGCGGAAGGAGCGUUAGUUGGUGUAGUUGCAUCCCUUUGCUGAUUCUGUAUAAUAUGACUCGUAACCAACGGUUGCCUCAUUCCAUCGACAAGUUUCCUCUCCUCGAAAUUAAUGGGUGGCUCAGUUGUUACAAGCUGAUUCUGCGCAGUUUUUGGCAGCACUGUUGUGUUUCGAUCAGCAGCUGCUGUUUCAGCUGAGUGUUGGUUUAGUUGGACGUUAUAUCCUGUUGCAUUUUGGUCGAAAUUUGGUGUUACUGCAUUUGAAAUUACUGCUUUUGCAGUAUUUCUUGGAACAAAAACUGGAGCGUUAUGGUUCAACUUACUGUUGGGACUUGCUGCAUUUGUCGCAGUAGCAUGACAAUUCAGAUUGGUCGUUUGAAAUGUUGUAGGUUUCCCUUGAAAUUUUUGUUUGAUUGGAGCAUCAAUGUCCUCUCCUUCACUAUCCUGAUCAACUUCUUGGUCGUCUCUUCAGAUGAAAAACCAGCAACUCCGUCACCUCAGACCUCAUCAUCAUCAAACUCUCAUUGGUCUUUCCACAGUUUCGAGUUAAUGACCAUCUCCCUCAUCUUAGCUUGAAUUAUUUCUUUGUUUUUGCCAAUUGAUAUUGACGGUUGCCCAUAUUCAGCUCCAUGCUCGCCUAUUGACUCACAAGAUUGAGUCAAUGUGACCAAUGAUUGCUUGAACAUAUGGUUGGCAUCGGACAUCAUUUUAAUCUGUGAAUCAUUGAUAAUUUUCUCCACAUGUGGACUGGAGAAAUGAGUCGAGGGAGCAUUUUGAUCCUUGGCCUACAUUUGCCUAUUUGGAUCAUUAACAGGAUCCUUAUCCAAUGCCGCUGUAUUCGAUGAGCUAUUUUGAUAAUAACUGUCUACCAUCUGCAGAUUCUCUCUAGUGAACUUCUCAUCAUCUUCAUUCUCAUUGCCAAGUGCAGCAAAUGAGUUUGGAUUUUUUGUUACACCUGGACACUUUUCUGCAAUCUGAUGUUUUUUUUUUUGCUUAUUGGAGUUCUUUUUUUGUUGGAAACAGAUGUCAAAUUAUCCUUAACAAUAUGUUGUCCAGCUUCCCUUGUGUGUUGUCUAGCAUGAGAAGGUUUUGAUCUCUCAAAUUCAGCCCCCUCUAAAGCAAGCUCACCUUGUACUAAGGCAACAUUAGAGACAUCUGUAGCAGCUGUACCUAUAGACAUAGUCACACUAUGUUGUUUUUGAACUAUAUCGAGCUCACCUUGUACUAAGGCAGCAUUAGAGACAUCUGUAGCAGCUGUACCUAUAGACAUAGUCAUACUGUGUUGUUUUUGAACUAUAUCUGGCUUUGCUGUUCUUUGAAGCAGUUUAAUCACAUCAUCCUUGUUAUCACUCCCAGUUACAUCUCGAUCCUCAGGACAGAUAGGAACUGCAACAGCUGGCUUUGUAUCUACUAUGCAGAUGGUAUUCCUGUUACCCUUUGUUAAUGAUGCUGCAAGCUCCAAUUCCAUAACAUCACAGUGAUCUCUCACCUCUUCAUUUUUCCCAGUCCAUUUAAAGCCAUCAAAUGAUAUUACAUUUUCCUCCCCUACUACUAGUUGCUGCACAUUGUUGGCAGUAACCAGAGUUGAUGACUUAUUCAAUUCAUUACUUCCUUGUUGUCCAAGAAUUUUUUAGGCAUGAAGCAGCUUUGGCAGUGUUGACUUCUCCACUGGUUCAACUGAUACAACAGUUGGUUCCUGCACAAAGAGGUCUAUCAAAAACUGGUGUGUCCUUAUUGCAUUUUCACCUGUUGUUACACCUGAUGCAGCAGUAGGUUUCAAAUUUGACACCAUCAUAUCUGACUGUUUUUCAGUUAAAACAUUCAUAGGAACAUGCAAUGGAACAAUAGUUGGCCCUUUACAAAGCUAUGCAACAUCAGCAUUUGGUAUUGAAAGAGGUGCAGCAGCUGGAACAAUUGAAAAAGACAAAUUUGUUUAUCCUGCAUUUACCUCCCCUGCUACUAGGUGCUGCACAUUGUACUUGUAAUGCUGUCCGUUACAUAUUUCAGUUAUAUUGGAAGGAUUGGCAGUAACCAGAGUUGAUAACUUAUUCAAUUCAUUACAUCCUUGUUGUCCAGGUAUUUUGAAGCAUGAAGCAGAUUUGGCAGUGUUGACUUCUCCACUGGUUCAACUGAUACAACAGUUGGAUCUGUAGAAGCUUUCAAAGUACCAGAAGCCUCCAAGUUUGUACCAUUUCCCUGACCAAACCAUGCACUUUUUUGAUUCCUAUUAUUUUGCAAUAAGUGCUGCUGCUCGAUGAAUUUAUCCUGCAGAGGUCUAUCAACAACUGGUCUGUCCUUUUUGCAUUUUCACUUGCUGUUACACCUGAUGCAGCAGUAGGUUCCAAAUUUGACACCAUCAUAUUUGACUGUUUUUCAGUUAAAACAUUCAUAGGAACAUGCAAAGGAUCAGUAGUUGGCCCUUUACAAAGCUGUGCAACAUCAACAUUUGGCAUAGAAAGAGCUGCAGCGGCUUGAACAAUUGAACAAGAGAAAUUUGUUUGUCCUGCAUCAUCAAUCACAUUAGGUAGUACCCCUUCAAUUCGACGUCCUGCAAGAUUAGCAUCCAAGUACUCCCUAGCGUCACCUCCUAAUUUAGCCAAACUGCCCCGGCCUUCAGGUUCGUCAACGUGAACGUGUUCUUUAUUAAAUUCCUGUGUACUCCAACGACACGAUUUAACAUCAUGACCUUGAUGAUUGCAACACGUGCAGUAUUUAGGUAGAUUAUCAAACAUGAUCUGCUGGUCGUAUUCAACUAUUUUUCCAGAUUUCAUAUCUACUAUCUUGAUCUUGAUUUUCUUUGGAUGUUUGUCCAGUAGAUUAAUCAAGACUUUAACUCGUGCCGUACUUGGUCGUGUUCGAUCUUGAGUAGCCUUAUCUACUGCCAGAGGCUUUCCCACAGCAGAUGCGAUGGACAUUAACGACUUUUUUGCGAAGAAAUUUGCUGGCACUUCAGGAAACAAAAUCCGAGUCACAGCUUUUGACGUUUCUUCAUGGGGGUUAAAUCCCAAUGUCCAUAGGAAUGUCCUAAAGAAGAACUCGUCUCCUUUUGCCUUAACAUAGCCAGUUGUUUUUGAUAACGCAUGAGCAAAAUCUUCAAAUAGAUCGAAUCUUACCAGAAUAUGCCGAUAUUCUAGCUGUCCAAUGUUGCAAUUACCUUUGACGUCGAAUUGUUUCGGCAAAAUCUGUCUCAGCUCCUGAAGUUCUGGCUUUCCAUAUGAAAAUUUAAUUAUAACUGCUUGUUGAAGACCUUCCUCCCUAGUGAAUGAAUUCACUUCAUUUACUAUGAACUCAAAAGUAGGUAUCCCAUGCUCAAACGUAACGGGACAAAGUUCUAUUUUUGAGAAUUUUGCGACAGAUUGUUGUCCAGCAAGUUGCGAUGCAUAUGUUUGUUUUGGAUCGUGAUUAAUUUGGUUUUCUAUAUUGUUAUGAAAAACCUCUCCCACAGCCAGAGGCUGGGGAGAGGGCAUAGCAUCCAUGGUUGCGUUCUACUUCAAACACAUUCCAUCAUAUCCACGCUAUGAAAGAGCAAAAUCGCUGGAAAAUUUCGAAGAAGCUGUAUGACAGUGAUUCGUCGAAAUUAGAUUUAAGAUGUAGGGAAAUUGGUUAUAGAUUUGAGGUAAAAAUCAAUUGGGAUUGGUCACAAAGAUAAGGGGAUGCUGUGACACCAAAAGUGUGACAAUCCACCGCCAGAUUCCGGAUAUAUGCCCGAUGAAUAGUGGCGGAAUCACUAUUCACCCUUCUUCCUAGAGAGAAGGGAGAGAUUUUUUUUAGAGAGAGAUUAGAUUGUUUAAAUGGAUACUUGGAUGCAUGUUGACUUUGUACGAGAGUUUAAAUUGGUUUAGAGGUGUUUUUGGUAUUGGUUUGAACAAUGAAUUUGAAUUGGAUGAGGUUAAGAAAAAUUUAAAAGGAUCUUUUGGUUAUAUGUUUAGUAGCUACAUUGAACGUGAUAGGAAAUUUAGGAACUCCCUUAAUUAAUUGAUUAAAUUGAGUUGUGCCAUUUAGUUGAAUUUUCCGUGGCCCUCACAAAUUAGAAAAUACGCAAUUGUCUUAGGUGCGCUAGUUAAAUAAUUUACCUUUUUAAAUUUGGGUGCACAUUUAUGUGACCCAAAUCCAAAUUCCAACAAUAUUAAAAUAUGUCAAAGACCACGGGUGCAUUUAUGUAAUGUGGUUCAAGACGUAUUUUAAUAGUGUUCCAAUUUUCUCUAAAAAAUGAAUUAAAGCGGUUAAAAAGUCAAAAUUUGCACAUAGGUACAUAACUGUAAAAAAUCUAAGCCGAAUAUAACAGUUGAGCGAUCGUGCUAGAACCACGAAACUCGGGAAUGCCUAACACCUUCUUCCGGUUUAACAAAAUUUCUUACUCGGAUUUCUAGCUCACAGACUGUAUUACAGAGUCAAACCUUCCUCGAUUCGGGAUUUUAAACCGGUGAUUUGGGACACCAUUAAUUAUUCCAAGUGGCGACUCUGAAUUCUCUAAAUAAAUAAAUCCAGUUUUGAUGUCACUUUAAGUUAGAAAUAACUCCCUUAUACUACCAUUCGUUGGGUGUGGUGUAAUAAAGAGGUGUGACGUAGAGUCUCACAUAUCAGUACAGAGACGUAUGUAUUUAUCCUCGGGAGGGUGCAGGACUGUUAAGGGUACUUCCCUUCUUGAUUCCUUAUCGUGCGAUUUGAUUCCCGUGAGGCUUAUGCCUUUAAUUCCUUCCUACUCAAUCUUAUGCGACAUAAAGCGCUUGUUAUAAAUCAAGAAUUGAAGAAUUGUAAUGGCACUACGAAUAUGGUGCGGGCGUUUCUCCUUGUGGGUUAUUUGAGCCAUUAUCGUCGCCUUGUGGAAGGAUAUUCUAUUGUUUCGGCUCAGUAGCAAUACUUUUGAGAGCCUUGAGGCUAGGCACAAGUUGCCAUGAUGCUUAUGAGAAAUUAUUUCGCAGUAUUAUUAUGAUGGUAGGAUGAUUGCCUGCCUGUCGAGGCGUUGAAUGACUUGAAUGGGAGGUUUGCUCAGUGCAUAAUCUAGAGAUUCGGUGUUUUAUUCCCGGCAGGGGAAAGGCAAUCAGGCAGAGAAUGUACAGGUUUGGGUUUAUGAGGUAUCAAGACUCGGUAUUCGCUAGUGUGGUGGAAGUUUUCUUGUAUAAUAAGGUGUCGUUGUCCCUAUUGAAUGCACUAAAUUCGUCGGUGUUAUGAUCUUCUACGAUUCGCCUUCGGAGCAGAAUAUUGCAUGUCAAUAUUGAAGAAACGCCUAUUAGAUAUCGCGAGGCAAGGUGGUUCCGGGUUGAAUUAGCAUUUAUAAUAUUGGCAGCUCGAGAGAAAUGAUCUCCAGCAAAAUUUAAAGUUAGUAGCGAUUUGUGGAUUCAAGUGCUAUGAAGAUAGAUUUUAUUGAGGCAACAAUUGAGUAGCAAAUGAUGAGGGAAGAUGUGUGGAAAGUGUAAGACAAUGGCUAAAAUUCCUAGAAGGCUAGGUGUAUGAAGCAAAGGUCAAGUAGUUGAUUAACGAAGCGAGUUUGGCCAAAGUGGGAGAGUGGCAGAGCUGCAUAUGGGCUUCGUAGUAGGAUGAUCACGUACCUUAAGGAGAGUUCGGAGGGAUUUGAGAAUAUUAACUGAUUGGUGAUUGGGGUCUACGGAUUUAUAUCGAAGUAUAGGCUAUUAUGAGGCAGGAGACUUGGUAUAACAGAAAGGAGAUGAUUGAAAUGAAGAAGGAUACAACGUAACUUUGAAUAGGAAGGAUGCUGCCGCACAUUUAAUUGAUGUCCACAACGGGUGAAAGGACUUAUGCAGCUAGAAGGAUUAACUCGGAUUGAGGAUGGGUUAUUGAUGUCAUGGUGAUUGUACCCUGUGCAGCAACGAUGGAAGAUGUCGGAAGGUGAUUUCCAUAGGUGGGUUAUUCCCUGUGAGCAAGUUAGCUGUCACAUACUUGGUGAGGCUUCUACGAAGAAUUCUAAUGGUUAUAAAGCGAAGGAAUCGAUCAUGCAAAUGUUAUUGAUGAUUCAGAGUAUAAAAAAGGGAUUUCCACAGCAAGAUAUCAAGGAUUUUGGGUACAACGUGUAGUGAUUGAUAUGGUGAUCUUAUGUUGGAAAUAGGUCAGGCGUAGAAUUUCGGAUGUUAGAAUUGGGCUUUAACUUCAAAAUUGAUCAAGCUGAUGUGCUCAACUAAGUUGUGGUAGCAUGGGAAGGUGUUUGAGAAGUUAAAUAGUGAUUUCAAACUACUUCCGUAUAGUUCUCAGCACGUUCGAGGACGAACUUAUGUUUAAGUGAGAGAGAAUGUAAUGACCCGACAGGUCAUUUUGAGCUCUAGCAUGUCGUUUAGCAGUCAGAGGCCAUGAACAACUUUAUUUCAGGUAUUAUGACUUGUACGCAUGGUCGGAAUUAAGUUUCAGGAAGUCCAGAGUUGAUUUGAAAAGAGAAUUCUCAUUUAGGAACCUUAAAGUUGAAAGAAUUAAUUAGGAUUAAAAUUUUAAGUAAAUGAACUCGGAAUUGGGAUCUGAAGGUUCCAGCAGGUUCAUACGAUUAUCUCGGACUUGGGCGUAUGCCCGGAUUGAGGUUUGGACAACCCUGGAGUGUUUUGGCGCCUAUUGUGGAAAGUAGCAUUUUGAAAGAAAUUUCAUAAGUUUGGGUUGAAGUGCAUUUCAGUGAUAUCGAUGUCCGUUUGGGAUACUGAGUCUGAGAGAAGCUCCGUAUUGUAAUUCUAGAGUUAGGAGCGCGAUCGGAAAUGAAUUCUGAGGUCCGUAGGUCAUUUUGGAGCCAUUUGGCCAAAGAUAUAAAUUUAAAAGUUUUUAAGAAGUUUGACAGAAGUGGACUUUUUGAUAUUGGGGUCGAAUGUUGGAGUAGGAUCGUAUUGUUGAAUAUGACUUGUGUGCAAAAUUUGAGGUCAAUCGGACGUAAUUUGAUAGGUUUAAACAUCAAAAAUAGAAGUUUGAAAUUCUAAUGUUCAUAAAGAUUGGAUUGGAGGUCGAUUUGUGGUUUUAGCGUUUUUUGAUAUGAUUUGAUAGAAGUUAGAAAUUUCAAAGUUCAUUAAGCUUGGAUUAGGGGUUGAUUUAUGAUUUUAGCAUUGUUUGGUGUGAUUUGAGGCUUUGAGCGAGUCCGUGUUAUGUUUUUGGACUUGUGCGGGUGUUUGGUUUGAAGCCCCAAGUGCUCGGGUGUGGUUUAGGAUAGCUUUGGAGUGAUUUGCUAAGAAAUAAGAUUGCUGGUGCUGGUAUGAUCGCAUUUGUGAUUCUUGGGUUGCAAAUGCAACAUCGCAUUUGCGAGCCUGGGCUCUACGGGAAAAGGUCGCAAUUGCGAUGUAUUGGUCGCAAAUGCGAGAAAGCAUUUGUAAGAUCUUGUUCGCAUUUACGAACCUGGGUGGCUGAGGGGUCGUUUGCGUUUGCGACAUUUUGGAUUGCUUUUGCGAGGCCUAAAGGGUUCGUAUUUGAGAAACCCUUAUCGUAUUUGUUACGUAGUCCAAUUCGGUCGGGGUUCGCAUUUGCGAAUUCGCAUUUGCGAUCCCCCUGUUGCAAAUGCGACAUCUGAGGGUUGUGUCCAGUUAUUAAGUCUGAAACGUAGCCCAUUUCCCUCAUUUCCCACUUGGCCUUAGACAAUUUUUGAGAGCAUUUGAGGAGAGAUUCCGUCAUCAUCAAAGAGGCAAGUAAUUUCUACGCAUCUUAAGUUAAAUACAUAGAUUAUGGGUAAAUUAACAUGCAAAAAAUUAAGGAAAAUGAAGGGGUUUAGAUGAAAACCUAGAAAAUAGAUGUUAUUGGCAUUUGACCACGAUUUUAGGUAUGAAAUUUAGAGUAGAUCAUAUAUUUGAGCUCGUGAGGUUAUGAGUAAACUUAUUCUUCAAAAUUUUUGGAAAUCCAGGCAUGUGGGCCCGAGGGUGUUUUCGUCAACUUUUCGAUUGCGGUUAUGAAUUGUUGUGUGUUGGGUUGUAUUGAAUAAUUAAUGGGUUAUAUAACUAUUGGCUAGUUUUGGAGCAUUCUUGCAUUUAUUUGAGUCUUCGAAAGGGCGUGGAAUGCCGGUUACGGAAUUUUGGAGCGAGGUGAGUCUCCUUUCUAACCAUGUAAGAGGGAAUUGUCCCCAUAGGUGAGCUAAUUGGUUAUGUGCUCCUAUAUACGUAUGCACGAGGUGACGAGAGUCCAUGCGUAGCUACUAUUAUGCUAUUGUACGGGUAGUCUAGGAUCCAAAAUCAUGCUAUACUUGGAUUGUUUGUAAACUUAUCGACAUUUGAAUUGCUUAAAUCACCUCGAGUUAGUAAAUGAAUUUCCACAAAAGAUUAAACUUCAUUUUCAAAAAUCUUUAUAAAAGAAUUGGCUUAUCUGUGGAAAAUUUUCCUUGUUGACUACUUGAUUGAUCGUCUGUGUGUGUUUAAUUUUGGAACGGGCCGAACGCCUCAGAAGAUUUAAUAGAUGCAUCUAUAGGCACGUCGUCGACCCUCCGAAAGUGCACAGUUUUAUUUUCUGUUGGAGCGGGCUGUACGCCUCGGCAUGAUUUGCGCAUGCUUGUAUUGCUGCUUUGAACUUAUUAAAGUUGUUAUUGCCUCUUCAUGGCUUGAGAAUAUUUGGAUAAUAAAGAAAGGGAAAUUUUGGAAGCCAUUGGAGCCGGCGCCGCCGUGGACGGCGGAGCAGCCGCUCCUUUGGAAUAAUGAAAAAAGAGAUUCUGGAAAUUUUCUAUAAAAGGGAAUAAUUGGUUACUUGUUUUUCUUCUAUUUGGUAAAAAUCAUGUUUGCAGAAAUUCACGAUUUAAUGUAUUAUUGAUAUCAUUAUUGGACCACUAGUAAGUGUUGAAGUUGACCAUCUCGUCUCUACUUCUUCGAUAUUAGACGGGAUACUCAUUCAGUACAUGUUGUUUUCGUACUCAUACUACACUUCUGUGCAUUUUUGUUGCACAUGUAUAUGUAACUCUAGCGGCCAACUAGGCGUAGCAGCAUGGAUGAUUCUGGGACUAGGUGAGUUGCAUUAUCCGAGACAGCCGUAGCUAGUACAGUCCCUUCAAGUAUACUGCAUUUACCUUUUGUCCAAUGUAUUCUGAACAGAUGUUGUAUUUUAUUUCCUUAUUAGUAGAUGCUCAUGCACUUGUGACACCGGGUUCUGGGAGG